UACGUAGGGGGCUAGCGUUGUCCGGAAUCAUUGGGCGUAAAGCGCGUGUAGGCGGUCCGGUAAGUCCGCUGUGAAAGUCCAGGGCUCAACCCUGGGAUGGCGGUGGAUACUGUCGGGCUCGAGUCCGGAAGAGGCGAGUGGAAUUCCUGGUGUAGCGGUGAAAUGCGCAGAUAUCAGGAGGAACACCAAUGGCGAAGGCAGCUCGCUGGGACGUGACUGACGCUGAGACGCGAAAGCGUGGGGAGCAAACAGG
Molecule: ribosomal RNA, 253 nt
Filed under: uncultured bacterium
Lineage: Bacteria
Description: partial 16S ribosomal RNA
Rfam family: Bacterial small subunit ribosomal RNA
Source: RNAcentral